UGUAUAAUUUUUUAAUAGCUUACGGUUUUUUAUUACCUGAAAGUCAAGAAAUAUGGAAUCGCAUAAGUUUUGGAAUUAUGUAUAUUAUAAUUUGUAUUAAUAUUGUUUUAUUACCAGUAAAAAUAAACUUAGUGAAAUUAAGCUUUUAAACAUUACUUUAACAAAACAUGUAGUUCAAAAAGCAAACACAAUAAGAGGCCCAUAUUGUUUUUCCUGCAUUGAAUUAUUGUGGGAUGAACUGGAUAGACAAGUGCGAAAAUCAUGCCCUACAUCAAAAGAAGACUUGUGGAGGAGCAUCCAAGGAGAGUGGCACAAGUUACCUCAGGAAACUUUGGACAAAUGAAUUAGAAGACUACCGAAACUCUGUGAAGCUGUUAUUAAAAAUCGAGGCGGACAUGUAGAUGAAUCCAAAAUUUGAUUUUCUUAAAUUUAAUUAAUUGAAAAAUGUAUUGUUUAUAUUCAUUUUGUUAUAAAUAAACCCUUUCAUAAGAAUAA
Molecule: long non-coding RNA, 495 nt
Filed under: Anthonomus grandis grandis
Lineage: Eukaryota; Metazoa; Arthropoda; Insecta; Coleoptera; Curculionidae
Description: uncharacterized LOC126738131
Source: RNAcentral